RNAcentral lists this ribosomal RNA (280 nucleotides) under Glomus sp. (unid). Lineage: Eukaryota; Fungi; Glomeromycota; Glomeromycetes; Glomerales; Glomeraceae. The record is from RNAcentral.
CAGUCGUACCUUCGGGUAAUCAGCCUUUCGAGUGCGAUUCUGUGGAGUGUGAGGAGCUAAACACCUUCAUGCCUGCAUAUUCGUGCUCUUGGGUGUACUUGCUCGUGUGGUUGGUUAACAUCAAUUUCGGACGCCAUAAAAUGGUUGAAAGAAUGUAACUUUGGUUUCGAUCGAGGUAUUAUAGCCUUUGACAGAUGUAAUGAUCAAGACCGAGGAUUGCAACGGAUACCCUUCAGGGCUAUUCGUCUGAUCUUGGUACUUGUCUUUAGUAUCGGAAGUC